Molecule: ribosomal RNA, 802 nt
Filed under: uncultured Pelagibacteraceae bacterium
Lineage: Bacteria; Pseudomonadati; Pseudomonadota; Alphaproteobacteria; Candidatus Pelagibacterales; Candidatus Pelagibacteraceae
Description: bacterial SSU rRNA
Rfam family: Bacterial small subunit ribosomal RNA
Source: RNAcentral
ACGCUGGCGGCACGCCUAAUACAUGCAAGUCGAACGAAGUAGCAAUACUUAGUGGCAGACGGGUGAGUAACAUGUGGGUAUCUUCCCUUUGGUGAGGAAUAACACGAGGAAACUUGUGCUAAUACCUCAUAAGUCUUUACGGAGAAAGCUUUAUGCGCCAAUGGAUGAGCCCGCACUUGAUUAGUUUGUUGGUGGGGUAAUGGCCUACCAAGACAAUGAUCAAUAGCUGAUUUGAGAGGAUGAUCAGCCACAUUGGGACUGAGACACGGCCCAAACUCCUACGGGAGGCAGCAGUAGGGAAUCUUGCACAAUGGAGGAAACUCUGAUGCAGCGAUGCCGCGUGAGUGAAGAAGGCCCUUGGGUUGUAAAGCUCUUUCGUCGGGGAAGAAAAUGACUGUACCCGAAUAAGAAGGUCCGGCUAACUUCGUGCCAGCAGCCGCGGUAAUACGAAGGGACCUAGCGUAGUUCGGAAUUACUGGGCUUAAAGAGUUCGUAGGUGGUUAAAAAAGUUGGUGGUGAAAGCCCAGAGCUUAACUCUGGAACGGCCAUCAAAACUUUUUAGCUAGAGUAUGAUAGAGGAAAGCAGAAUUUCUAGUGUAGAGGUGAAAUUCGUAGAUAUUAGAAAGAAUACCAAUUGCGAAGGCAGCUUUCUGGAUCAUUACUGACACUGAGGAACGAAAGCAUGGGUAGCGAAGAGGAUUAGAUACCCUCGUAGUCCAUGCCGUAAACGAUGUGUGUUAGAUGUUGGAAAUUUAUUUUCAGUAUCGCAGCGAAAGCAAUAAACACACCGCCUGGGGAGUAC